Molecule: long non-coding RNA, 4621 nt
Organism: Cavia porcellus (domestic guinea pig)
Lineage: Eukaryota; Metazoa; Chordata; Mammalia; Rodentia; Caviidae
Exons: 3
Source: RefSeq, a predicted model, not a curated record
UUUUGUACUGUUUAAAGGAAUUCAUAUUGUACAAUUUAAAGGCAUUAGCAGAGUGUUUAAAACAACUAAGAAGAAAGGUUUAUUUACUGCAAACCUUGCUUAUGAACAAUGACUACAUUUUUAAUUAAUAACACAGAUCCUUUUGCACAAUACUUUAUAAAAGGAAUCAACAUCUUUCCUGUGAAAAAGUUAGAAAGCAAAUAUUUUAGGUUUUACAAGCCAAGAGGCAAAAGAGAGGCUAUUAUGUAGGAACUUACAUAACACAAAAAUAAAGACAAAUCUCCACAAAGUUGUAAGUUAACAAGUAUUCAAAAUAUUGUAAAACUUGAGUGCAAAUGUCUGUAACACAAACCUGCUAAAGAAAGAGAGUAUUGUUUUGGGAAGAGGGAAAGGAGUGGGAAAAUUUUCAAUAGUUAAGAUUCAAAGUUAGUGUUUCUGUUAACAAAGGGUCCUAACACUCACCCGCAUUGUUGUUCGCUCACUGGGUACGCAAAGACAGACAGUUAGUGGACUGGAACUGUGAGCCAUAAUUCACCAACCUCCGUUUUAGAGUUUUGGAUGCUUUCAAGUGAGCAAAACAUUCUCAUGUAUAUCGGUCACAGUAGUUCUGCAAGAAAGACAGAUGGAUGCACUGUCCUGCCAUUAUUGAAGUCUUUGAAACUUCCACGAGUGAUUUGAUAUCCCGAAAGAGCACAGGCAGAAGAAGAUGAUGGAACCAAGACUUGGCUUCAACUCUUCAUUCAGAGCAGUCUGAUCUAGAGCAUAUACCAAGUCUUUGCUUCCUCUGAUUUGGUAAGCUAAAAAUUAAGCUCUUGUGCUAUCCCAAAAUAACACCAAUAUCAUCUAAAAGAGUUUUGGGACUCAGCUGUUGUAUCAGAAUAUCUUCAAGGGUGACACAUCUUUGCCUUAGUCAACAAACCUGGCCUUGGGAAACAGCCUCAAAGCCUUUGAUGCCAAAUGUCAAACUUAAUUUGAAUUGUAAACAACAUUUGGCUGUAAUAUACAGAUUUGGGGGGGGGGUCCUAAAAGAAUGAUUUCUGACAAAUAAUGUCCAGGGAACAUUCAAAACGAAUUGAAAACCAGAUAAAUCUUCAUUAAGCAAAUGCAUAGCCUCCCAAUUGACUACUAUUUAUAGAAUUUUAGAAUUUAGGUGCUUCAGAAAUGAAUUUUUGCAAGCUCCCAAAUUAAUAGAAGAAAACUCAGAAAGGUUACUUUGAAGAUCAGCACUUACAUGAAAUGUAAAAUUUAACAUUGGUUUUAAAAUCCUUCUCUCAGGAGAAAUAAGCAAUGCAUGAAUUCUUCUCCGGCAUCUAUCUUGUGAAUAACACUGACUAUCGUAACACUAAACAAGGACAGGGUCUGUUCCUUAAAAAGACUGAGAAGGCCAGCCUUGUCAAAGAAAGCCACUGGUUCAAAUGACAUUUUAAAAUGUCUCCCAGGGGGAGGGACAUGAACAAAGUCUAUACACAUUGCAAACUCCUCAAAAAUGUGAAGUUAGGGAGAAGCAAAGAUGGACAAGGGGUAUCAGGGGGAGAAAAUGAACAGUGUAUGUUAUGUUCACGUACAAAUUUAAUCUGUAUAACCAACCAAAAAGAGAGCAGAACAUUUUUAUUCCAAUCCCCAAAUUAUGUGAUGCUAAGUAGAAUCCACUGGAGACAAAGUCAUUACUGAGUGCUUCCUGUGUGCUUUAAGAGUGAUCCAUUUUUAGCUCAUAUAAGGUUCACAAUAAUCCUAGAUGCUGGUUCUUAUUAACCCCACAGAUGAAGAAACCUCGCUUAGAAACAUUUGCCUAAUUUCACAUUCAUAGCAAGAGCAAGAUAUUUGAUUCCAACUCAGUCAGUUAGUUAGGGUUCAGAUGGAGAAAAUCCUGAAGUAUAAUAUAUAUUUGACUGUGAUUGUAGGAACUGGCUGCAGUGUUUAUGUACUGCCCUUGCUUUUGCAUCUCAUGCCAGGGCUGAAGUCAGAAGGCCAAAGAUGUGGGAGAGCGUCCUGUGGGGAAAUGAUGGCAAAGUGCCUUUGGGUGUAAUAUUUUAAAACGUAAACAUUCACCAUUUAUUUUGAUCACACCGAGCGACGUCCAUCUCUACUUCUAUGUCUACUUUGUUCGUGAUCCCAUGGACAAUAACCAAGGGAGAUAGAAAGAGAAAUUGAUCCAAGGAUGUUGUCCACUGUGCUCACAUGAAGAGCCUUCUCUCCAAGGCUGCUCCUUGGUGAAUACUCAGAGAGGUUCAUCUACAAACCACAUCCCCAGACCUCCUUGUGACUAAUUUUCCAGCAGGCCUCUUUCCAAGUCCCUGGCCAUCUAGACAAUCCCAUGAGUCAUGGUAUUUACAUCUCCACCCCUUUCUCUUUCUGAGCAAAAUGUACCAACAGGUACACAGCUUGGAGUUCUGCCCGUGGAUGAGCAUUUUCAUCAUCGCAGUCCUGAGGGUCACCCCAAAAUGAAACUACUAGUCUACAACCUGUACUUCUAGGUGCUCCAAUGAAAUGGUUCUCAUUGGUUCAGACACAGUGGAUUCCUGAAUCUAAAAGACGGACAAAGUAAAAGGAGAAAUCAACAUUGCGCUAUGAAGCACAAGAAAAAAGAUUUACCAUAGGAAGCUGUGAAAAUGGCAACAGAACACCCCAUUUUAAAAUGCCUGUCCCUAUUGCAGCUCUCAGGAAUCCAAAACAGAUUCCCAUAAACUAGAAGGUGGGACAGGUAUGAGCUAAGAGGAACCAGAACCAUCAACAAUUUGACAACAUAACAAGAAGAAUGACAAGGGCCAUUUUGAUUUUGGCGAAGACCCAGAAGUCACUUGGUGUCAGACCCAAUGAACAAGGUUGGUGAGGACACACUGCGGUAUUUUUGUGAGCCUGCAUUGCCACUGGAUGUCGCUUAGCAGUGCCGUUCGCUGUAGCUUUGAUCACACCUCGUAAAGACAGUCAGGAAAGGAGACGUCCAGAACUGCUUCAGAAAGUAGCAAGAAACAUGGGAUACGUAUGCUUGAAGUGAGAGAGAGCAUUUUGAAGGGAUUCAAGGCAAUGUAUCUUUUACUGUAAUAAUUUAAUGUAGGAAUUUGUUGCAUGGUUUGAUUACUUCUUCUAUAAAGAUUAAAAUAUGAGAAGUGGAACUAGAUACCCACAAAAUCUUUCUUCUUGUCUUCCUGUGACUUGUACUCUCUGAGCCUCCCAAAGGUGACAGCAGCCAGAAAAAUCUUGGCAUUACUACCUACAUGUCUGAUGGCUUGGGAAUUUCUCUAUUUUUCCUACAAUGACUCUCCUACUCUGACUGCUAGUUGACAAAAACGGGAAAGUUGAAAAAUGCAGUCACUGUCAAAGCUUAAGAAAAAAGAGGGAGUUAUGACAAGGAUAAUCCAAGAACUGCCAUUACUGUCAAAAACAAGGAUAAUCUAAGAAUUGCAGUUAAGCCAAGGAGUAUUAAUGCUUGGCUUUGAGAAAGAUCAUCAAAUUUAGGGAGCCUUUUGCUGAACUCCAGCAAAUACUGAAAUGGGUCUAUGCCCUGGAAAUAUCCACCAGCUCAGCUCUGGGAGGCCAGCCUGAGUUUCAGACUUCUCUUCAGCUGAGACACAAAGUGGUGGUUCACGUGGAUGAAUGGAAUAUUGAUUGUGUGCGGGAGUCGAGAAACGCCAGGAGGAGGGAUUUUUCAUAUGCAUGCAAGCCCAAGAUGCCCCCAGUCAGAUGGGUAAUCCUAUCCCCCACGCUCCAGAAGAUGCUUACAAUAAUCAUGGGUCACAGUCAAGAGUCCUUUAUUCGCAUGGCAAACAGCAUUUGAAAAUGAAGCUCCGUGCAAUUAAGGUUUGCUGAGAAUUUCUUCUCCUCACAUAUGGCAAUACUUAUCUUCAAAGCUCUCCUCUUUGGCUCACGGGCUUCUUUGCAAAGCAGCUGGUCUUGUGUGGCCUAAUUGUGAGAUGAUUUGUUGUGUGAUUCCAGUAGCAUUGUUUAUUUGUACAGUGGUUCGGUGGAAUUUAUAAACUGCAUAAUAUUGUUCUAGACUGUUUUCUUUUGAGUAAAAAGCCACAUUUUCUCCAGCAUUCAUGACUGGGAUUAUAAUUAGGUGGAGCACUUGAGAUAUUUUCAUCCUGACUUCCUCCUGUUAAUUAAUGACAUUCUGUAAGAAACUCUUGCAAACUAAGUGGAAAGAUGUAAGCAGAACAUGGAAAGAGAACCAGAGUGACGAAUCGAGUUGAAAUCAAUCUUUGUUUUGCAUAUGAGAGCUUGUUAACAAAUGCUCAAAUGUAACUAAUACAAGCUGUAUGUUAUUUCUAAUUAGUUCUAGCUGUUCUCUGGAAAAUAGAGUCAAAUAUGGAGAAUCUUAAAAGCGAUCUUUUGCUAUUCUUGGUCCGUCCCUGAGAAACCCCCAGAAAAUGGUCCCAAUUACUUGUCACAAUUUCUUUAAUGAUGAAAUGUCUCCAGUGCUUCCAGGCUUAUAAAAAGUUCUAAGAGAAUUUGACCUUCCCAUUUUGUUUCCUUUAUUAAAAAGAAGCUUCAUGUGGGUUUUUUUUUUCCAAUAAGAAUAUUUCUAAAUAAAGUAUGAAUGGAAUUUUCAAAGUACUUUGGAGAUUUCAAAAAAAGUGCAAUUUCCAGGAUCUGGGAUUGGACUAGAAUCCUUUAUAAUGUU